This 126-nucleotide ribosomal RNA is filed under the name Eutreptiella gymnastica. RNAcentral's name for it is "partial Eukaryotic large subunit ribosomal RNA". The record is from RNAcentral. Lineage: Eukaryota; Euglenozoa; Euglenophyceae; Eutreptiales; Eutreptiaceae.
UUUUUGCGGGUUCCGAGCCCGGUGUGGUAGUGGCUGAUUUGUUGGCCGAGUCUUUGGAUAUGCCAUCCCGCAAUGACACGAAACUCACUCACGCACGCAAGGAUAAGGCAGAGAUGCAAGAACAGC